AGUGAACGCUGGCGGUAGGCCUAACACAUGCAAGUCGAACGGCAGCACAGUAAGAGCUUGCUCUUACGGGUGGCGAGUGGCGGACGGGUGAGGAAUACAUCGGAAUCUACUUUUUCGUGGGGGAUAACGUGGGGAAACUUACGCUAAUACCGCAUACGACCUACGGGUGAAAGCAGGGGAUCUUCGGACCUUGCGCGAUUGAAUGAGCCGAUGUCGGAUUAGCUAGUUGGCGGGGUAAAGGCCCACCAAGGCGACGAUCCGUAGCUGGGCUGAGAGGAUGAUCAGCCACACUGGAACUGAGACACGGUCCAGACUCCUACGGGAGGCAGCAGUGGGGAAUAUUGGACAAAGGGCGCAAGCCUGAUCCAGCCAUACCGCGUGGGUGAAGAAGGCCUUCGGGUUGUAAAGCCCUUUUGUUGGGAAAGAAAAGCAGCAGGUUAAUACCCCGCCGUUCUGACGGUACCCAAAGAAUAAGCACCGGCUAACUUCGUG
RNAcentral lists this ribosomal RNA (492 nucleotides) under uncultured bacterium. RNAcentral describes it as "partial 16S ribosomal RNA". It matches the Rfam family "Bacterial small subunit ribosomal RNA", at positions 29 to 507 of the family's 1533-position model. The record is from RNAcentral.